CCUACGGGUGGCAGCAGUGAGGAAUAUUGGUCAAUGGACGAGAGUCUGAACCAGCCAAGUAGCGUGAAGGAUGACUGCCCUAUGGGUUGUAAACUUCUUUUAUGUGGGAAUAAAACGUUCCACGUGUGGGAUUUUGUAUGUACCAUAUGAAUAAGGAUCGGCUAACUCCGUGCCAGCAGCCGCGGUAAUACGGAGGAUCCGAGCGUUAUCCGGCUUUAUUGGGUUUAAAGGGAGCGUAGGUGGAUUGUUAAGUCAGUUGUGAAAGUUUGCGGCUCAACCGUAAAAUUGCAGUUGAAACUGGCAGUCUUGAGUACAGUAGAGGUGGGCGGAAUUCGUGGUGUAGCGGUGAAAUGCUUAGAUAUCACGAAGAACUCCGAUUGCGAAGGCAGUUCACUGGACUGCAUCUGACACUGAGGCUCGAAAGUGUGGGUAUCAAACAGGAUUAGAUACCCUAGUAGUC
This 460-nucleotide ribosomal RNA is filed under the name uncultured bacterium. Its description in RNAcentral is "partial 16S ribosomal RNA". It matches the Rfam family "Bacterial small subunit ribosomal RNA", at positions 338 to 795 of the family's 1533-position model. The record is from RNAcentral.